This is a long non-coding RNA of Felis catus (domestic cat), 4141 nucleotides long. RefSeq lists it as uncharacterized. The record is from RefSeq and is a predicted model, not a curated record. NCBI's taxonomy places the organism in Eukaryota, Metazoa, Chordata, Mammalia, Carnivora, Felidae. The transcript has 3 exons.
CGAGAAAACCGGUCAGCAUUUAUUCGGAGAACGUUCUUGGUGGAUUUAAAAGGAAUUAGUGUGCCUUGGCUCACUCCAGAUGCCACCCGGCUCUAUCUUUAGAAACUUCUAACCGAGGGAAGGUUCCAGGGAUGUGAGCAUCCGUGUUCUCCAAGGUUGACUCUAUAAAUACCCUCCCAGUCGGCCUCGGGAGCUCUGUCCUCCGACCCAGAAAUAGCCCCUUCAGUCAGCAGUCCUGGAAGCAGCCCUUAGCCCAGAGCCCUAAGAAGUAUGGGCGCUGAGCGGGGCCCAGGGCCGCCACACGCCGCCUCCCCCACGGCCACGCACGGCUCACCGUGCUGCUCGGCUUUGCUGCAGAGCCCAGGAGUGGGGAGGAAGCAAGCAAACAGAAAAUCCAGUCACUGUCCCAGAGCGUGGGGGACAGAAGCUGGGGGACGGGGACGGCAAGGCCCCGGCCGGACGGCUGAAUGCUCACUGCUCCCGUGACUGUUCUCAGAGCUUCUGCUCGGCACCCGGCGGCACGCCAGGCCGGUAGGCGCCUUCGAAGGCCAACGGGCCUGACACAGAGGCCGGCGGGCAGUGCUCUCUCCUUCCGGGAGGCCUAGAAACCCGAACACCAUAGUGAUUUGAUUCGGGGAAGUGGAGCCUGACUAGGAAAGGGGGACAUCCUCGGAAAAGCAAGGAAACCGACGUCAUUCCCUCAGGUCUGUUGGUAGCUGCCUCCCGCUUUGCACAUUUCUGCCAACGAGCCCGGAGAGGAGGGCCUGCCGUUCGAAUGAUGCCUGAAGUGCGCCAGGCCGGCUCUGUAUUGAAGGUAACCUGGGUGAGCUUGUCUGUGGGGAAGCUAAGUGUGCCUGCUGUACACACGCACACGCACGCACACACACACAUGCGCACACACACGCACGCGCACACACUCUACCCUCACUCAGUCCCCACCUCCUAGAUCUAGCUCCCCACCGCAGAUGUGAAAACCAGCACAUGGCCAGGCUGUCAGUGGGCACAUGAGGGCUUUUGUUCCCCAGGAUCAGCUCCCGGCCCACAGUCAAGGUGACUGUGGAGCCCUGUGGCCUCAGCAAGACCCUUCACCUCCAGAUGUCUCCGUGUUUGCCUUGCGACUGGGGGCUCAUCAGUCCGGCAGCUGUGAAGCAUCUGAAGAGCUAAUGUUUCUAAAACAGCACAGAGCAGCUGCUCGAUAAAGGACGAAAAGCAAUUGUGAGGCACGAUCUUGGAGACGUCGCGGGUUUAAUACGUGCCCGCAGGUCGGCCCAUGCGCUCAGCUCCCGUCACUAACUCCGCUUCCCCGGGAAAGGCCUUCGAUUCAUGCAGACGACCCAUUCCCAGGCCAGGGCCACCGCACAUGCCCACGGCCACGCGCCUCCCUCGAGGCCCAGCCUCCCGCCCUCUUGGAACUUUGGGGUUCAUUUCGUGACUUGGACCCGCAGACUUGAGCUCCUAUUUGGAGGGGUGGACUGUAGGCUUUGAAACCCGGUGUCACGUUACAGAAAUCACAGGCUUGUUCCUGAGCCACUGUGGGUAGAAUUAAAUAGCAAGACUGCAGGGUUAAAAGUCAAGAAAGCAAUUUUUUAAAAAACUGAUCUGAACUCAUUCUGUAAUAUUUCCUAUUUACAUUGAAGAAAUGUCAAUUCUUGGCUUCAGGCCUCACGAGAGACCAAGGAUUGAAUGAUGCUUAUGAGACAGAUAUAAAUCUUUGAUAAGACAAUAACCGCAGAGAGGGACAUGCCUGGAAACGUUAAGUGGGUUCGAUUCGGUCACAGCUCUCUCCUGCGGCCCUGACUUGACUCACAAACAUCUGGAUGUCCUGCUCAGUCACGUUCCCUGUAUCUGGUGAGGAGGGUGGCCUGUGUGUGACGCGGGCACUUUGCGUCUGGGCCUCUUGGGCACCAUGGGUAAGAGUAGUCAGAAGUGUGCUAAUUGUUCUUUUAUUUGUACUUUGGUCCGCAAAGCUUAAACGCUCAGUUGGCAUUUGUCUUCGUGCCGGAUGUAGCCGUGGCUGUACCCAAAGGCACCGAUUCUGUCUACAGCUUCCCUGCCCGCACAGCCACGUGCAUCACAGACCAGGUCACCUGCUGAGCAUCCCAGUGGCAUCUAGGAAUCAGGGCAAGAGCCCAGGGCAAGAACUGGACAUAAGGAAGGACUGCCAAGCCUUGGCCAGACUCUGGACCUCUUUGUCAGUUUCUCAAACCGUACCCAGGAUCUCGGGUUUGGGAACGAGACUGGUAAGAAGUCCUACUCUGGGGCAGAACGUGCAAUUGGGACAAGACUUAGGAGUUGGGCAGCGAUUCUGAUGAUGAUGCCUUCAGGCAAAGAACCACGUGGAGGGACACAGGUCAGGGCAGGGGACCUGUGGGUCUAACUCGCAAGAGUCUACAAAUUCAGGUGUCAUCAAACUGUCCCAGUCGUGAGGUUCAACCUGCUGCAAAGUGUCAGAACUGUGAAGUUCAACCACCUUUAUGAUUUAUUAAUGACCACUGAUGGCUGGGACCAAAACACAGAUGGAAGAGAACAAGUGACCAGUGGAUGGACUUGUCUAGCGUGAGGCUCAAAAGCACUUCGUUCUUUUUUCUCCCUCCCUGGGAGAGCCAUUAGAUGUCCUUCAGUUUUCCGGUGGGAAGCAGAGAGAGGACUCUUCUGUGACAUGUGUCCUGGCAGCCAGGGCCCAGGCCUCACAAGCCUGAGGUGCCCGGCAUUGGUGGCUGAAGCCGUGGACUUUUGAUAGCCAUCACACUCCUCACAAUUACAAAUACAUUCCUUCCCCUCCGAACCUGGGAGAAUGGGGCCCAGCCCUCCCCACCGCCCAGCUAAUUGCUGAGGGAGCUGCCAGGGUCCUGCCCGGGACAGAAAACAGAGAGUGGGGAGCCCCUCGGGGAAGGCUGGAAGGGGUUCCGAUAAUCGACAGCACAGCCCUCAUCAAUCUCGGAUCCUCAUCGGUCUGUGGCCUAUUAAGCUCUCCCUGUCUGUCAAUAACCCAUUAUUGCUCUCUUGCUGAGCGCUCUGAGGCUAGCUUCCAUUUGGCCAGAGAAAAAUAAUGAUUGUUUGUUUAUUAGUUGGGAGGAGAUGUCCAGCCACAAACGUGCAUUGGGCCAAAGCCAGUUUCUGUCGAGCUCUCCCGUGGCCCAAGCCCUCCCUGCUAGAACCCUGUACUGGUGGAUCCAGAGGCUGAAAUCUGUCCCGAGCAGGUGGCUCAGGGGCUUACCAGGAUCUACGGAUCUUUCCACACAGCCAAGAGCACACCGGCAGCCCUGACUCAUUCCUUAGCCGCUGCUAGGUAGGUGGGGUGCCGCCAUGCCACACAAGGUAAUAUGACAAAGGGACCCAGGCUGGUCUGGCCAUGGCCUGGAGCCUUUCCCGCUGAGCUCUGGGAGGCCUCGGCUGGAAGCUGCUGGCUGAGAGUCUGGCAACCAUUCGGAGUCAGGGCCACCGGGGCUGGGCUGUGCUGGGCGUGAGCAACCACUUCCCGUUUCCCUCUGCUGGCCCUCUGCCCCCAGCCUCUCUCCACCGCCUCCCUCAGCAAGGUCAUACUGACGGGAUGCAAAGCUCAGUUCUGCCACUUAUGAGCGGUGAGAUCUCGGCAAAUUGACUCCUCUGAGCUUCGAGGGGCUCCUAUAAUAAACAGGAAUCUUGCGACUGUGCCAUGGGAUCGACAUGAGAUGACAUAUGAUGUCGACCAUCUUACCAUUGUUCUGAGGACAUUAGCAUCCCUCACCACCCCCAGCAUUUGUGCAUCCUGUUCUGGAGGAUCAGUAGGAGUUCAGCUGAGUCCAGAGGUGGUAACAAACGACCCCGAAUCCGCGUGGUUUACAGCAGCCAAGAGUUCGGUCUUUCUCACGCUCACGUUCAUGGGGGGUCUGCAGAGCUCGGUUCCACGUCGCCUUCACUCCAGGACCAAGGCUGACGGACAGCAGUCCCACCCGGCUGAGGAAGAGGCAACGGUGGGAGCGGUCACGGCGCUUCAGGCGUCUGCUUGGACCCAGCACACAUCGGUUCCACUACAUCUCGCUGCCUGAGGGACCAGCCUGCCUCAGUGCAGCAGAAGUCAGGACCCUCCCUCAGGGAUGGGCCAUGAAUGUCUUGACAAUACGUAAUCUGCCCCAUAAUAAAGCCUUACACCCGGGCUUCA